UACGAAGGGGGCUAGCGUUGUUCGGAAUUACUGGGCGUAAAGGGCGCGUAGGCGGUUUACCAAGUCAGAAGUGAAAGCCCUGGGCUCAACCCGGGAAUUGCUUUUGAAACUGGUAAGCUUUGAGUUCGAGAGAGGUAAGUGGAAUAUCCAGUGUAGAGGUAAAAUUCGUAGAUAUUGGAUGGAACACCAGUGGCGAAGGCGGCUUACUGGCUCGAUACUGACGCUGAGGCGCGAAAGCGUGGGGAGCAAACAGG
Molecule: ribosomal RNA, 254 nt
Filed under: uncultured bacterium
Lineage: Bacteria
Description: partial 16S ribosomal RNA
Rfam family: Bacterial small subunit ribosomal RNA
Source: RNAcentral